GAUAAAGAGGUAGAAAAUAAGUAUAUUACUCUAAAGACUUCAAGUUUAAGGUCCUUAACCAAUGAGCAAAGUGAUUGUGAAAUAAGUGAUGAUGAGAAUUCUGAUGAUGGAGAAAUGGGGUUGUUCGUCAAAAGGUACAAUAGGUACAUAACAAAAAAUUGAGUCAAGCACUCCGACAAGAACCUAAUCAACUUUAGAAGGCUAUAAAACUCCUCAAAGGAAGAUGAGAAUAAAAAGGGUAAACAUAUAAGUUCUUGCUACAAUUUUGAAAAGUCGGACAUUAUAG
RNAcentral lists this long non-coding RNA (286 nucleotides) under Lathyrus oleraceus (garden pea). Its description in RNAcentral is "Pisum sativum (pea) long non-coding RNA (PSAT_LNC017400)". The record is from RNAcentral. Lineage: Eukaryota; Viridiplantae; Streptophyta; Magnoliopsida; Fabales; Fabaceae.